Molecule: long non-coding RNA, 466 nt
Organism: Acanthopagrus latus (yellowfin seabream)
Lineage: Eukaryota; Metazoa; Chordata; Actinopteri; Spariformes; Sparidae
Exons: 3
Source: RefSeq, a predicted model, not a curated record
GGGAUAGAGAGAUCAGCAGCAUGAGAAAUCCUCUAAGGAUCAUCUGCAAACCUUUCACCUCGGCUAAACUACACACCAGGGUUUACACGACGACAGUGACAGAGAACUUGCCUAUACUGGUGACAUUGUUUUGAAGUAUUGGAUGUGCAACGUCAAUAAAAUGUUGGCAGUCUGGGCUGCAACACAGAAGAAAAAGAGAGGAUGUGACUCUACUACGUACGUUAACCUGCUGCCUAUCUGCUGCAUUCACUCAGCUGCUCAGUGAAAGUGUAUCUGUUGGAGGUGAAACGCGAUGCAUGUGAACUCUACAUGAGACAAACGUACUGUACUCCAGAGACCCCGAGGGCUCUCCCUGCUUGUUACUGAUAAUGUAACUGGCAUGCUGCAGAGGAGGACUCGUGAACUUACUGUACCGACAUGGUUUCACUCUCCACUAUCAGCCGCAGCAUUCCUUCAAAGCUUAGGU